Molecule: unclassified non-coding RNA, 323 nt
Filed under: Hevea brasiliensis (rubber tree)
Lineage: Eukaryota; Viridiplantae; Streptophyta; Magnoliopsida; Malpighiales; Euphorbiaceae
Source: RNAcentral
GUUAAAAUGACACAAAUGUUCUGUGAAAAUCUCCCUCUAUCAAAAGAAUUGGAUGCUCAAGAGAGUAUGUAUGGUGAAGAUCUUUUGUCCAUGGCAUGUAACUUGUUGGUACAGCUCUUUUGGCGGACUAGGCACAUCGGGUAUCUGGUUGAAUCAGUUAUGAUCUUGGAAUUUGGUUUGACAGUAAGAAGACAUGUUUCACAGUACAAGAUUUUGCUGCUGCAUUUGUACUCUUAUUGGAAUUCUCUUCCUUUGGCGUAUGAAUGGUAUAAAUCACUGGAAGUGAAGAACAUAUUGUUGGAAACUGUAUCACACCACAUUUU